CGCGUGUACUGGAGUGGCCGGGCCUUUCCUUCUGGGGAAGCCCAUGGCCUUUAUUGGCUGUGUGGGGGAACCAGGACUUUUACUUUGAAAAAAUUAGAGUGUUCAAAGCAGGCCUUUGCUCGGAUACAUUAGCAUGGAAUAAUAGAAUAGGACGGCUUUCCUAUUUUGUUGGUUUCUAGGAGAGCCGUAAUGAUUAAUAGGGACAGUCGGGGGCAUCAGUAUUCAAUUGACAGAGGUGAAAUUCUUGGAUUUAUUGAAGACUAACUACUGCGAAAGCAUUUGCCAAGGAUGUUUUCAUUAAUCAGUGAACGAAAGUUAGGGGAUCGAAGACGAUCAGAUACCGUCGUAGUCUUAACCAUAAACUAUGCCGACUAGGGAUCGGUGGAUGUUAUUUUGUUGACUCCAUCGGGCACCUUACGAGAAAUCAAAGUUUUUGGGUUCUGGGGGGAGUAUGGUCGCAAGGCUGAAACUUAAAGAAAUUGACGGAAGGGCACCACCAGGAGUGGAGCCUGCGGCUUAAUUUGACUCAACACGGGGAAACUCACCAGGUUCGGAUAUGAUAAGGAUUGACAGAUUGAGAGCUCUUUCUUGACUUCAUAGUUUGGUGGUGCAUGGGCCGUUCUUAGUUGGUGGAGUGAUUUGUCUGCUUAAUUGCGAUAACGAACGAGACCUUAACCUGCUAAAUAGCCCUGCUGGCUCCGGCUGGCAGCAGGCUUCUUAGAGGGACUAUCGG
Molecule: ribosomal RNA, 733 nt
Filed under: uncultured eukaryote
Lineage: Eukaryota
Description: SSU rRNA
Rfam family: Eukaryotic small subunit ribosomal RNA
Source: RNAcentral